This 253-nucleotide ribosomal RNA is filed under the name uncultured bacterium. Its description in RNAcentral is "partial 16S ribosomal RNA". It matches the Rfam family "Bacterial small subunit ribosomal RNA", at positions 524 to 776 of the family's 1533-position model. The record is from RNAcentral.
UACGUAGGUGGCAAGCGUUAUCCGGAUUUAUUGGGCGUAAAGGGAGCGCAGGCGGUCUUUUAAGUCUGAUGUGAAAGCCUUCGGCUUAACCGGAGUAGCGCAUUGGAAACUGGGAGACUUGAGUGCAGAAGAGGAGAAUGGAACUCCAUGUGUAGCGGUGAAAUGCGUAGAUAUAUGGAGGAACACCGGUGGCGAAAGCGGCUCUCUAGCCUGUAACUGACACUGAGGCUCGAAAGCGUGGGGAGCAAACAGG